This 1147-nucleotide ribosomal RNA is filed under the name Henneguya multiplasmodialis. RNAcentral's name for it is "SSU rRNA". It matches the Rfam family "Eukaryotic small subunit ribosomal RNA", at positions 340 to 1376 of the family's 1831-position model. The record is from RNAcentral. Lineage: Eukaryota; Metazoa; Cnidaria; Myxozoa; Bivalvulida; Myxobolidae.
ACUGCCAAGGUUGUUACGGGUAACGGGGAAUCAGGGUUCGAUUCCGGAGAGGGAGCCUGAGAAACGGCUACCACAUCCAAGGAAGGCAGCAGGCGCGCAAAUUACCCAAUACAGACAAUGUGAGGUGGUGACGAAAAGUACCGGAUGGCGACAUUGUUGCCAGUCUGGAAUGAAAACAAUUUAAGCAAUUGAAUUGAGUAACGACUGGAGGGCAAGUCUGGUGCCAGCAGCCGCGGUAAUUCCAGCUCCAGUAGCGUAUCUCAAAGUUGCUGCGCUUAAAACGCUCGUAGUUGGAUCACUCACUAUGCAUUGAUGUAUUUGAUUUCAAUAAUUUGACAACAUACCUUUGGUAACAUUGGUCACUGUUGGUAAAGAUUGGAACAAGUAAUUCAGUCAGUGUAUAGUAAUUGCAUGUGAGGACGAUUGUUGACCUUGAGUGUGUUGAUGAUUGUAUCUCACAGGGCGUGCCUUGAGUAAAUCAGAGUGCUUAAAGCAGGCGAAAGCUUGAAUGUUAUUAGCAUGGAACGAACAAUCGUGUAUGGUGUGUGCUGAUAACGACACGUGGAGUUCGCUCCCGUGCCGCGGCAUACGACACCGACUACCAAUUACGGAUGUUGGUUCCGUAUUGGGGUACUGAUUAAGAGGAGCGGUUGGGGGCAUUAGUAUUUGGCAGCGAGAGGUGAAAUUCUUAGACCUGCCAAGGACUAACAAAUGCGAAGGCAUCUGUCCAGACCGUAUCCAUUGAUCAAGAACGAAAGAGAGAGUUUCGAAUACGAUCAGAUACCGUAGUAGUUCUCUCUGUAAACUAUGCCGACCCGGGAUCAGUUUGGAGCUAUUAUUCCAUGCUCGGAGUUGGUCCCCCUGGGAAACCUAAAGUUUUUCGGUUGCGGGGGGAGUAUGGUCGCAAGGCUGAAACUUAAAGGAAUUGACGGAAGGGCACCACCAGGGGUGGAGCCUGCGGCUUAAUUUGACUCAACACGGGAAAACUUACCUGAUCAAGACAUCAGGAGGAUAGACAGACUAAUGCUCUUUCUUGAUUUGAUGAUUGGUGGUGCAUGGCCGUUCUUAGUUCGUGGAGUGAUCUGUCAGGCCAAUUCCGGUAACGAACGAGACCACAGUCUCCAUUUGAUGAGCUGUAGAAGGUAUC